This 250-nucleotide ribosomal RNA is filed under the name uncultured bacterium. RNAcentral's name for it is "partial 16S ribosomal RNA". It matches the Rfam family "Bacterial small subunit ribosomal RNA", at positions 524 to 773 of the family's 1533-position model. RNAcentral also lists the same sequence under 1 other name. The record is from RNAcentral.
UACGGAGGGUGCGAGCGUUGUCCGGAUUUAUUGGGUUUAAAGGGUGCGUAGGUGGCCCUGCAAGUCCGUGGUGAAAGCCUGCUGCUCAACAGCAGAACUGCCAUGGAUACUACAGGGCUUGAGUCCAGACGAGGUUGGCGGAAUGGAUGGUGUAGCGGUGAAAUGCAUAGAUACCAUCCAGAACCCCGAUUGCGUAGGCAGCUGACUAGGCUGGUACUGACACUGAGGCACGAAAGCGUGGGGAGCGAAC